RNAcentral lists this ribosomal RNA (1421 nucleotides) under uncultured organism. Its description in RNAcentral is "16S ribosomal RNA". It matches the Rfam family "Bacterial small subunit ribosomal RNA". The record is from RNAcentral.
GAUGAACGCUAGCUACAGGCUUAACACAUGCAAGUCGAGGGUCAGCAUUUUAGUUUGCUUGCAAACUGAAGAUGGCGACCGGCGCACGGGUGAGUAACACGUAUCCAACCUGCCGAUAACUCCGGAAUAGCCUUUCGAAAGAAAGAUUAAUACCGGAUAGCAUACGAAUAUCGCAUGAUAUUUUUAUUAAAGAAUUUCGGUUAUCGAUGGGGAUGCGUUCCAUUAGUUUGUUGGCGGGGUAACGGCCCACCAAGACAACGAUGGAUAGGGGUUCUGAGAGGAAGGUCCCCCACAUUGGAACUGAGACACGGUCCAAACUCCUACGGGAGGCAGCAGUGAGGAAUAUUGGUCAAUGGGCGAGAGCCUGAACCAGCCAAGUAGCGUGAAGGAUGAAGGCUCUAUGGGUCGUAAACUUCUUUUAUAUGGGAAUAAAGUUUUCCACGUGUGGAAUUUUGUAUGUACCAUAUGAAUAAGGAUCGGCUAACUCCGUGCCAGCAGCCGCGGUAAUACGGAGGAUCCGAGCGUUAUCCGGAUUUAUUGGGUUUAAAGGGAGCGUAGGUGGAUUGUUAAGUCAGUUGUGAAAGUUUGCGGCUCAACCGUAAAAUUGCAGUUGAAACUGGCAGUCUUGAGUACAGUAGAGGUGGGCGGAAUUCGUGGUGUAGCGGUGAAAUGCUUAGAUAUCACGAAGAACUCCGAUUGCGAAGGCAGCUCACUAGACUGUCACUGACACUGAUGCUCGAAAGUGUGGGUAUCAAACAGGAUUAGAUACCCUGGUAGUCCACACAGUAAACGAUGAAUACUCGCUGUUUGCGAUAUACAGUAAGCGGCCAAGCGAAAGCAUUAAGUAUUCCACCUGGGGAGUACGCCGGCAACGGUGAAACUCAAAGGAAUUGACGGGGGCCCGCACAAGCGGAGGAACAUGUGGUUUAAUUCGAUGAUACGCGAGGAACCUUACCCGGGCUUAAAUUGCAACAGAAUAUAUUGGAAACAGUAUAGCCGUAAGGCUGUUGUGAAGGUGCUGCAUGGUUGUCGUCAGCUCGUGCCGUGAGGUGUCGGCUUAAGUGCCAUAACGAGCGCAACCCUUAUCUUUAGUUACUAACAGGUGAUGCUGAGGACUCUAGAGAGACUGCCGUCGUAAGAUGUGAGGAAGGUGGGGAUGACGUCAAAUCAGCACGGCCCUUACGUCCGGGGCUACACACGUGUUACAAUGGGGGGUACAGAAGGCGGCUACCUGGUGACAGGAUGCUAAUCCCAAAAACCUCUCUCAGUUCGGAUCGAAGUCUGCAACCCGACUUCGUGAAGCUGGAUUCGCUAGUAAUCGCGCAUCAGCCAUGGCGCGGUGAAUACGUUCCCGGGCCUUGUACACACCGCCCGUCAAGCCAUGAAAGCCGGGGGUACCUGAAGUACGUAACCGCAAGGAG